Molecule: unclassified non-coding RNA, 250 nt
Filed under: plant metagenome
Description: partial contains small subunit ribosomal RNA, internal transcribed spacer 1, and 5.8S ribosomal RNA
Source: RNAcentral
GUAGGAAAAUCCUUCUCUAAUGAAGCUUUGAAUACGCACGACUAUAAACAAUGCUAGCAUAGCCCCUAAUUUAAUCACAAGGGCGACGUCACAUAAUUGCUGGGAUCCUUUUCACAAGAAGGGUACCAGCAGCCAAGUUUAACCUUGGUUCACAGAUUAGAUGGUGACGGUCAAACAAUCCAUAUCAAAUAUCGUGUUUUGAUUAAGAUAUAAUCGGUUUACUGUUUUAUCACAGCAAGUGAAGCGUUCC